Homo sapiens (human) is the source of this 1596-nucleotide long non-coding RNA. Ensembl annotates it as deleted in lymphocytic leukemia 1. Its record names the gene DLEU1. The record is from Ensembl. NCBI's taxonomy places the organism in Eukaryota, Metazoa, Chordata, Mammalia, Primates, Hominidae.
AUUCCAAGAACCAGGAGGUUGUUUGCUGUACUCUCCCUUGUACAGUUAGCUGUCUCUAGUGCCUGAAUGCACUAAUUGUCCUUUGGGUAUGGAUGAGGUAAUGAAGGAAAGGGAUGCUGGGAAGAGAGGCCACAUGAGAAGGCUGCAGCAAACUAAGUGUUGCUUGCUAAAGAAAAAUGAAAGCUGGAAUUUCAGCAGGGAAGAAAGUAUAUGCCCCACCGUGAUGAGUACAAACACACAGCAUCAGGGAAGCCACACAGAAUGAAGCUCUGAGAAGACUGUUAGCAUUUUCCCUCCACGCCCCAGGGGAAAAGGUUGGUUCUCUAACUUGAUGUAUACAAAUUUUCUGAGAAGAUUAUUUAAAAAGUAGUUUCCACCCAAUCCAAGGAUUCCGAUUCAGCAGGGCUGAGGUACUCCGAAGCAGGGUAUGGAUUCUGCUUUCAUCUUUCAAUGCAAGCCUGUUUCCACAGGGUUGAGAUCUGGCAUGGACAAUUUCAGCCUGAAACGAUUACUUUUGGAAAUUUGCAGUGAGUGGAAACAGUCAUGUAGAGCUGUGGAUCUUGCUACCUGGAUCAAUAACUUCUUCUAGUUAAGCUUCUUGCCAAGGAAAAGCAAGGAAUAUCAAAUUUCAUAGACCUAAUGAACCACUGGAAACUGCUUGCACCCAUGUGUGCAAGGAUCGCUUUUUAUGAUUUAUACAAACCAAAGCACUCAUUGGAAUAAGAAUAAUAGCUAACGUUUAUUUAUCAUUUAUUAUCCUGGCCACUGUGCCAAGUAUUUAUAUACAGUGAGUUAUUUAAUCCCUGCAACAACCCAUGGGAGUGGGGUUUAAUCUGGACUGAAUUGGAGGAAAGGAACUGGCACCAGAGUGGAGGCUGGAAGGAUGGUGGAACUGACACUGGGACAGAACACAGAAAACAGAAUCUAAUGCUAGAGGAGGUCUGAUGGCCGGGAGGACAGGAAGAAGGAACCCACAAUGAAGCAAAAGUUGCGUUUAACUCUGUCCUCACCAUUCCUCUCCUGGACCUGUCCUAAACUGGAAGCUGGGGGAGGAUGGAGUGCUGGAAUGCUGCAGAAGUCUCAUGGGAGGGCGCCUGGUGUUCACCACAUGUGUACACUGUUGCACGACCAGAUGGAAAUUUGAAUGCUGGGGCUCAGUGGAACACCUGAAGGAAGCUGGUGAGGCAGAUGUCCCGCUAUGCCUUCCAAGUGUCAUGCAACCAGUUCAUGCCUGUCAGCAUCUCUGCCGGUGGACUCUGUGAGUCAGCAAAUCUACAGAGCAGAGAGCCACAAGUGGGGACAGAUGUGGUCAAAUGCCAUUUAAAUCAGUGAUUCUCAACCCAGGAGUUGUCAUGGCACUGGCCUUGAGUGAGCUGGACCAAGGGAAGUGGUAGAAUUCCCCAUGAAGGACCAAGUGAGCAGAUAGAAGUUUCUCCAUUUUAACUUUUUCUGAGUCAAUUUAAAAAACACCUAGUGCCUUUUUCUGUACAUAGUGCCUGUGGGUUUGAAUUUAAGCCUACCCAAAUGUGCUUUUAUCCCACCUAUUUUGAACCUUGCAUGUCUCCGGGAUAAGAAUUAACAUAAGCUAUAAAUAUU